This 345-nucleotide unclassified non-coding RNA is filed under the name soil metagenome. RNAcentral's name for it is "partial contains 5.8S ribosomal RNA, internal transcribed spacer 2, and large subunit ribosomal RNA". The stretch from base 1 to 120 matches the Rfam family "5.8S ribosomal RNA", at positions 35 to 154 of the family's 154-position model. The record is from RNAcentral.
GAUGAAGAACGUAGCGAAAUGCGAUACGUAAUGUGAAUUGCAGAAUUCAGUGAAUCAUCGAGUCUUUGAACGCACAUUGCGCCCCCUGGUAUUCCGGGGGGCAUGCCUGUCCGAGCGUCAUUGCUGCCCUCAAGCACGGCUUGUGUGUUGGGCCUCCGUCCUCCUCCCGGGGGACGGGCCCGAAAGGCAGCGGCGGCACCGCGUCCGGUCCUCGAGCGUAUGGGGCUUCGUCACCCGCUCUUGUAUGCCCGGCCGGCGCUUGCCGACACAUCAAUCUUUUUUCCAGGUUGACCUCGGAUCAGGUAGGGAUACCCGCUGAACUUAAGCAUAUCAAUAAGCGGAGGA